Molecule: ribosomal RNA, 369 nt
Filed under: uncultured bacterium
Lineage: Bacteria
Description: bacterial SSU rRNA
Rfam family: Bacterial small subunit ribosomal RNA
Source: RNAcentral
CAGUAGGGAGGAAGGUAGUGUAGUUAACACCUGCACUAUUUGACGUUACCUACAGAAGAAGCACCGGCUAACUCCGUGCCAGCAGCCGCGGUAAUACGGAGGGUGCGAGCGUUAAUCGGAAUUACUGGGCGUAAAGCGCAUGCAGGCGGCCUGUUAAGUCAGAUGUGAAAGACCCGGGGCUUAACCUCGGAAUUGCAUUUGAAACUAGGCAGGCUAGAGUCUUGUAGAGGGGGGUAGGAAUUUCAGGUGUAGCGGUGAAAUAGCGUAGAGAUCUGAAGGAAUACCAGUGGCGAAGGCGGCCCCCUCGGACAAAGACUGACGCUCAGAUGCGAAAGCGUGGGGAGCAAACAGGAUUAGAUACCCUGGUAG